Oncorhynchus keta (chum salmon) is the source of this 827-nucleotide long non-coding RNA. RefSeq lists it as uncharacterized. The record is from RefSeq and is a predicted model, not a curated record. The transcript has 3 exons. NCBI's taxonomy places the organism in Eukaryota, Metazoa, Chordata, Actinopteri, Salmoniformes, Salmonidae.
CCUGGAACGCAAAACUGAGCAUACCGAAGAUGCCCGCAGUGAUCACCAGAGAACAACUUCAUCCUGCCUGAUUGAUGUAAGGUAUUUUUUGCUCCGAGAUAAAAACACGUGCGCCGCUAUUCAACUCCCCACGGAUAUAGGGACAGGAUGACGUUCUUUCACGGUGUAUCUUGUUCACCGCUCAAGAGCUUUAACAACGUUACGAGGAUGAGGCGUGAAGCAGAAUUGACCACUACCGUUGAGGAAUAACAUUUCCAAGCAGCGGCAGAGUACAUAGCAGGGAGGGGUGGUCAUCACGAGGUUUAACUGAGAUGGAAAAAUACUGAACAUCACAAUAGCAGGAACUGAGCAACUGUUAUAACUUGGCUGCGAUACCAGAACAGUAAGAAUCUAUACAUCGACGGAGGGAGGACUCCAUGAAGCGCCAAGAGGCGGGGACCCGCCUGAGCGCCUGCAAUAGGCUGAGCAAGUUUAAACAACGCCCAGCCUCUGUGAUAGGCCAACAGACGGGUUGGAACUAUGUCCAUCACAGUAUAAGAACACUGUUUACAUACAUACAUCCUGUCAGUUCUCUGUUCUGCCCUGCGUGGUAUUACAGUGAGUGAAAGUUGCAUUUGCCAUUUAUUACUUAGCUAAUAAAAACGUAUAACAAUGAGUCACCGAUUGUAUACUAUUUAUCCUGAUACCAGAUUCGAAUUUACACAACUAACACUUUACGCAUGGCCAUUAUGGACAACUGGUGUCAAACAAAUAUUACAGCGACGUGUAGAGUGUUUGCCUUUCAUGCCAGAAACCCAGGCUAGCUUCCCUACCCCACCAUUCACUAU